This 71-nucleotide transfer RNA is filed under the name Loxodonta africana (African savanna elephant). It matches the Rfam family "tRNA". From Rfam's summary of the family: Transfer RNA (tRNA) molecules are approximately 80 nucleotides in length. Their secondary structure includes four short double-helical elements and three loops (D, anti-codon, and T loops). Further hydrogen bonds mediate the characteristic L-shaped molecular structure. tRNAs have two regions of fundamental functional importance: the anti-codon, which is responsible for specific mRNA codon recognition, and the 3' end, to which the tRNAs corresponding amino acid is attached (by aminoacyl-tRNA synthetases). tRNAs cope with the degeneracy of the genetic code in two manners: having more than one tRNA (with a specific anti-codon) for a particular amino acid; and 'wobble' base-pairing, i.e. permitting non-standard base-pairing at the 3rd anti-codon position. The record is from Rfam by way of RNAcentral. Lineage: Eukaryota; Metazoa; Chordata; Mammalia; Proboscidea; Elephantidae.
ACAUUGGUGGUUCAGUGGUAGACUUCUUGCCUUCCAUGAGAGAGACCUGGGUUCGAUUCCCAGCCCAUGCA